This 795-nucleotide ribosomal RNA is filed under the name Methanosaeta sp. enrichment culture clone A5_60. RNAcentral's name for it is "bacterial SSU rRNA". It matches the Rfam family "Archaeal small subunit ribosomal RNA", at positions 85 to 879 of the family's 1478-position model. The record is from RNAcentral. Lineage: Archaea; Methanobacteriati; Methanobacteriota; Methanomicrobia; Methanotrichales; Methanotrichaceae.
ACUGCUCAGUAACACGUGGACAACCUACCCUUGGGUCUGGCAUAAUCCUGGGAAACUGGGUAUAAUUCCAGAUAGGUCACAGAUGCUGGAAUGCACUGCGGCCGAAAGCUCCGGCGCCCAAGGAUGGGUCUGCGGCCUAUCAGGGUUGUAGUGGGUGUAACGGACCUACUAGCCUACGACGGGUACGGGUUGUGAGAGCAAGAGCCCGGAGAUGGAUUCUGAGACACGAAUCCAGGCCCUACGGGGUGCAGCAGGCGCGAAAACUUUACAAUGCGGGAAACCGUGAUAAGGGAAUCUCGAGUGCCAGCAUAUAAUGUUGGCUGUCCAGAUGCCUAAAAAGCAUCUGUUAGCAAGGGCCGGGCAAGACCGGUGCCAGCCGCCGCGGUAACACCGGCGGCCCGAGUGGUAACCGCUUUUAUUGGGUCUAAAGGGUCUGUAGCCGGCCAAGUAAGUCCCUUGGGAAAUCUGGCAGCUUAACUGUCAGGCUGCUAGGGGAUACUGCUAGGCUUGGGACCGGGAGAGGUGAGAGGUACCUUGGGGGUAGGGGUGAAAUCUUGUGAUCCUCGGGGGACCACCAGUGGCGAAGGCGUCUCACCAGAACGGGUCCGACGGUAAGGGACGAAAGCUAGGGGCACGAACCGGAUUAGAUACCCGGGUAGUCCUAGCCGUAAACGAUGCUCGCUAGGUGUCAGUCACGGUGCGACCGUGAUUGGUGCCGUAGGGAAGCCGUGAAGCGAGCCACCUGGGGAAGUAUGGCCGCAAGGCUGAAACUUAAAGGAAUUGGCGGGGGAGCAC